This 457-nucleotide ribosomal RNA is filed under the name uncultured bacterium. RNAcentral describes it as "partial 16S ribosomal RNA". It matches the Rfam family "Bacterial small subunit ribosomal RNA", at positions 338 to 795 of the family's 1533-position model. The record is from RNAcentral.
CCUACGGGAGGCAGCAGUGGGGAAUAUUGCACAAUGGGGGAAACCCUGAUGCAGCGACGCCGCGUGAGUGAAGAAGUAUUUCGGUAUGUAAAGCUCUAUCAGCAGGGAAGAAAUAAAGUCCUUCGGACUUUGGACGGUACCUGACUAAGAAGCCCCGGCUAACUACGUGCCAGCAGCCGCGGUAAUACGUAGGGGGCAAGCGUUAUCCGGAUUUACUGGGUGUAAAGGGAGCGUAGGCGGCAGCGCAAGUCUGGAGUGAAAUCCCAUGGCUUAACCAUGGCACUGCUUUGGAAGCUGUGCGGCUGGAGUGCAGGGGAGGUAAGCGGAAUUCGUGGGGUAGCGGUGAAAUGCGUAGAUAUUGGGAGGAACCCCAGUGGCGAAGGCGGCGUACUGGACUGUAACUGACGUUGAGGCUCGAAAGCGUGGGGAGCGAACAGGAUUAGAUACCCCGGUAGUC